UGGGGAGCAGCUGUAAAUACAGAUGAAGCUUCACUUGCUCACCUGCCACUCACCUCCUGCUGUGCAGCCCAGUUCCUACCAGGCCAUGGACCGGUACUGGUCCAUGGCCCUGGGGGUUGGGGAGCCCUGGUUUAGAUGAUAUUAAACCCACACCUGGCCUGGCUGAUGAGAACAUUACAUCCUUCAGCUGCCAGGAUGGACCAACAUAAGUGAUCCAACUAAAACCAAUGACUUUUGCUGGGAAGACAGGUGAAGAGACAGAGAGAAAAAAACAGAGAGAAACUGUUUUGUCUUCUCAUUUUCUUGUCAUCCAGAAGCCUGGAUUAAUCGGAACCAGGUUGCCACCCAGAGGGAGAGGCAUGAACUGAGUGAUCAUAGAGAUAAAACAAGGGAAGUAGAACUGAAGGAUGGAGAGAAACCAGGACCUGACAAUUACUGGUGACAUCAUUUGAGCCCAAAUCCAGCCAUGUCUACAGCAGUUUGGAUAUGUCAUUCCACUGCCUUCUGACCUCCACAAUAGGAGACACUGAUAGCAGCAAGGGGCAGACAAAUGCCUGUGCAAAUGGGGCACAUCCCUGGUGAAAUACACCUUCAAGCUAAAAAACAACCUGAAGGCUGAAAGGCUGGACUCCUGGUCCUGGAUGAAACCCAGACCCAGAGUGAGAACUUCUGUUUGUGUUUGCCUGCCCUUUCCUGAUUGAUUCUUUCUGAAUAAUGCCUUUUAACCAAUCAAAUGUUGCCUUUCCAUUACUACCUAUGGCCUGCCCCUCCCCUAUUCUAAGCCCAUAAAAGCCCAAGACUCAGCCACAUUGGGGGUACUUUCCUGCCUUUUAGAGGGACCACCCCCAUGUUCCCUCUCCCUGGAAAGCUGUUUUGUCACUGAAUAAAACUCUCCACUUUGCCCACUCUUUGACUGUCAGUGUAUCUUCAUUCUUCUUGGACACUGGACAAGAACUCAGGAACUAGUGCACAAACCGGAGUCAGCCCGGGUAGGAUGAUUUGACAGAGCACCUCCUACAGCAGGUAGCAUGC
Molecule: long non-coding RNA, 1032 nt
Filed under: Homo sapiens (human)
Lineage: Eukaryota; Metazoa; Chordata; Mammalia; Primates; Hominidae
Description: HSALNT0070492
Source: RNAcentral